Molecule: ribosomal RNA, 508 nt
Filed under: uncultured bacterium
Lineage: Bacteria
Description: partial 16S ribosomal RNA
Rfam family: Bacterial small subunit ribosomal RNA
Source: RNAcentral
GAUGAACGCUAGCUACAGGCUUAACACAUGCAAGUCGAGGGGAAACGAUAGAGAAAGCUUGCUUUUUCUAGGCGUCGACCGGCGCACGGGUGAGUAACGCGUAUCCAACCUGCCCAUCACUUGGGGAUAACCUUGCGAAAGUAAGACUAAUACCCAAUGACGUCUCUAGAAGACAUCUGAAAGAGAUUAAAGAUUUAUCGGUGAUGGAUGGGGAUGCGUCUGAUUAGCUUGUUGGCGGGGUAACGGCCCACCAAGGCGACGAUCAGUAGGGGUUCUGAGAGAAAGGUCACCCACAUCGGAACUGAGAAACGGACCAAACUCCUACGGAAGGCAGCAGUGAGGAAUAUUGGUCAAUGGUCGAGAGCCUGAACCAGCCAAGUAGCGUGCAGGAUGACGGCCCUAUGGGUUGUAAACUGCUUUUAUAAGGGAAUAAAGUGAGUCUCGUGAGACUUUUUGCAUGUACCUUAUGAAUAAGGACCGGCUAAUUCCGUGCCAGCCGCCGCCGUAA